AUUUGCAGCUCCAGCGUCAGGAGCUCAGCUGGUUAUUUCUAGCUUGCUGAAUGUCAAAAAUCCAGGCUGCUUCUCACAGCAGCCUCCACACGUCAGACCAAAUCAAGGCAUCAGCACGUCAAGCAGCCAAAUCGGCUGCCCCAAGCACCAGCCUGGAGGCGCCGGCCCAGCCUCUUGCAGUGCACCUGACCCGGCCCCCGCGGUGCACCUGACCCAGGAGAGCUGUGUUCAGCUUACUGCGAGCCCUCUGCCCACGCUCUCGGGGCGCGGCUCCCACCUGCAGCCCGCGCCUGGUGCUUGCACAGUAUGAAGACUUCACUGGCCUGUGCAGCCGUCUGGGUUUUCCCCUUGUUGGGGCCAGCUGGCAGUCUGCCUGGAGAGAACGUGACCAUGGGAGCUAGGCUCUGUCGCUGAGCUCUGACCCCAGUGAAGGGAUUUCUGCCUUUCCUCUGGUCUCUUCUGAAAUCUCUUGGAACUGUCGCUUGGGUUACCUUGUCUGCCUUGAACAGCUCUCACCCCCAACUCCAGUUCUUUCCUUGGGUUCAAAUCACCCUGAUUGUUUAUGUCUCUGUACACAUCAAAGCAAUCCCAAGGAGCCACCGAAACUGGAACACUCCAGGCUGAGCGCUACUCUCAGGAGGCUGAUGGGCUUUUGUGAGGAGGGCGGAUCAUGUUUUCAUAAGAUGGGGCUGCAGUAGAACUCCAGAAGGUCCCAGCGGAGAGGCACCUAGUCGUCUGAAGGCAGCAACUGUCUCAAGGGCCUGUGCCCCACUGUCCAGUGACCGUUCAAACCACUCACUUGUCUUGCUCCCUUUUACCCUUGUCUUUCUGCCUGAUCAAGACCCUGACCUGGCUGCUAUUGGUUUGGCCCUCGUUUUGUUGGUCCUUUCUAACCUGCAGAGCAGAUAGGGGUAAACAAGCCCAGAGUCUGGCCACCCUCUGAGGGACCCCAGGCACUGCCUGUCCUGUUGAACCAUGUCUGGAGGUCUUCCUGGAGUUUGAGGACUAUCUUUCCAGUUCCUUGUUAAAGACUGUAACUUGAAAUCCGAUUAAAUAUUUGUCAGUCGAGGAUGGAUGGAGUUGUGGGUCAUUACUGUGACACCUCAGA
Microtus oregoni (creeping vole) is the source of this 1108-nucleotide long non-coding RNA. RefSeq lists it as uncharacterized. The transcript has 3 exons. NCBI's taxonomy places the organism in Eukaryota, Metazoa, Chordata, Mammalia, Rodentia, Cricetidae. The record is from RefSeq and is a predicted model, not a curated record.